RNAcentral lists this ribosomal RNA (406 nucleotides) under uncultured bacterium. RNAcentral's name for it is "partial 16S ribosomal RNA". It matches the Rfam family "Bacterial small subunit ribosomal RNA", at positions 30 to 526 of the family's 1533-position model. The record is from RNAcentral.
AUUGAACGCUGGCGGCAGGCCUAACACAUGCAAGUCGAACGAGAGGCGGACGGGUGAGUAAUGUCUGGGAAACUGACUGAUGGAGGGGGAUAACUAAUGGAAACGGUAGCUAAUACCGCAUACCAUCGGAUGUGCCCAGAUGGGAUUAGCUAGGGGGUGGGGUAACGGCUCACCUAGGCGAAGAUCCCUAGCAGGUCUGAGAGGAUGACCAGCACCCCGGGAACGGAUCAACGGUCCGACCUCCUCCGGGAGGAACCAGUGGGUAAUCUUGCACAAUGGGCGCAAGCCUGUUGCAGCCAUGCCGCGUGUAUGAAGAAGCCCUUCGGUUUGUAAAGUACUUUCAGCGGGGAGGCGUUACCCGCAGAAGAAGCACCGGCUAACUCCGUGCCAGCAGCCGCGGUAAUUC